Pogoniulus pusillus (Red-fronted tinkerbird) is the source of this 1235-nucleotide long non-coding RNA. RefSeq lists it as uncharacterized. The record is from RefSeq and is a predicted model, not a curated record. The transcript is spliced from 4 exons. Lineage: Eukaryota; Metazoa; Chordata; Aves; Piciformes; Lybiidae.
CCCCUUUAUAUUCUGCCCCAGCAAAGCUAGAAGCUCCAAGUUAGGCCCAUUGUGGGCCAAGGGAUCCUCUGCCUGGCAUCUCUGUCUGCCAUAAAUCCAAAAUAACCAACUGAAGUCGGUGGAGUUCCUGGGGAUUUGUGCUACUGUAAAGGAGAACAGAACAGAGAACUUUUUCUCCUGCUCUCUCAUAAUGAGAAGGAAAGCUGGAAUGUCAGCCUGGCUAUAUUUCAUUGCUUUGCUCACAUCAUAAAAUGGACAUUAUUUAAACCUUCUUUAUUUUUAUAUUUUUUUAAUAUUUGGAAUAUAACAGAAGGAGAACCUUGAUGGUUUCUUAUUUUACAGGAAUAUAAAUAUGAAAAGUAAUUUUUCUUUUACACAUGAGUUAGGAAGCAUAAUUUACUUGAAAGGAUCCUAUUAUAUACUCAGUCCUGUAUUUGUUUAUCUAAUUGAAUAGAAGAGCAUUUACUGCUGCUUCAAAGUUAAGCCAAUAAACAUUUGUCUUGUAUUGCAGGCAGCGAUGUUUGGCAUUUGGAUUGAGCAACACCCAUUUUACCUUGGGUUCAUUUUAUAGUAUUGAUGAAGCAGGACUCCAGUUCCUGGAACAUCUCUCCUCAUCAGUCCCUUUUGGGAGCAGGAUCGUCGCGCUCAUUCCGAAGCUGUGCCAGUGCCUGCAGUUCAUGGGGACUACAGAUGAGAUCUUUGUUACAAGAAGCAUGAGAUCAAUUCUCCAUUCCGAGCCAUGUAAAACAAGAGGAGGACUCUUCCCUGGAGACAGUCUGCCCAUCUGGAGUAUUCAAGCUUUCAAGGGCUGCUUUUCAUCCUCUUCCCUGGCACUUGCUUCUUGCAAGGCUGGGCUGCACGUUCAUAGGUAUGUGACGUUACUGAUAAUACCACAACAAGCUGGCAUCCCCCAAGCAUGUUGGAUGAAGGCUGUCUUUAAAGAGGCAGGUAGGGGCUCGUGCAGUGGGGGAAGUGACCAGGUUUUCCAAUCCCUCAUAUGGAGCUAUCUGGCCACAUGGCUACCUUUCAUCACUUACGCCGACGCCAAAAAAAGGCAUUAUUAAGCCAACAUGCCUGUUGAAAUGUCUGUGUGUACUAAGCUGUCAUGGACUUGUUUUGGGUCAUAAUAGCACGUGUACUUGAUUUCUUUGUUUUGAAUUCCCUCCCCAGCCCCCACCUUUUCUUUUUUAAGAGUCUGAUUUUCUCAGGAGAUUGUGAAUAAAGAAGACAACUCA